This 274-nucleotide ribosomal RNA is filed under the name uncultured bacterium. Its description in RNAcentral is "partial 16S ribosomal RNA". It matches the Rfam family "Bacterial small subunit ribosomal RNA", at positions 523 to 796 of the family's 1533-position model. The record is from RNAcentral.
AUACGGAGGGUGCAAGCGUUACUCGGAAUCACUGGGCGUAAAGCGCGCGCAGGCGGUCUUUUAAGUUGGAUGUGAAAGCCUACGGCUCAACCGUAGAACUGCAUCCAAAACUAUUAGACUAGAGUGUGGGAGAGGAAGAUGGAAUUAGUUGAGUAGGGGUAAAAUCCGUAGAGAUAACUAGGAAUACCAAAAGCGAAGGCAAUCUUCUGGAACACUACUGACGCUGAGGCGCGAAAGCGUGGGGAGCAAACAGGAUUAGAAACCCUAGUAGUCC